GUGGAUAUGGGAGGGUCACCGGAUCAGCCUGUGCCUCGGGGCGCCUUGCCUCAAGUACAAAAGACUCGACUCAACUCAUGUUAGUCUUCUAGGUGGCCUAUCUGCGGUGACGGACUGCCAGAUCCGGCUGUGGAAGGCAAUGCCAAGAGAAUGUCCUAUUUUCAGGAUUUGAGUCACUGUCGUGGUUGCUCAUAUUGCUCGAGAGACUGCAUUGCAUUGGAAUACAUUUUCUAGGGUAUGAUAUCCCCAAGGAUUCUUAGCAGCCAAGAUAAAUUGCAGGUUCUGAUGAGCAAGUGUGGAGCAUUUGACUUAUCUCCUAAGAGUUCCAGAACUUUCGGGGUGCAUGGAUUUUGAGAUUUCUUUCUGAAGGGAGCACUUGACAUUUGGAGCUAAAUCUAGACAAAGACGUAAUGCAUUUGGUUCUAGGAGAGUCUGCUACGUUUACCACAUUGCAAGCAAUCUCUGAGAGAUGGUUAUGAUUUGAGAUUUUAAAGGUCUAACUCAUGUUUACCUCCUUCAAGGAGCACGUGGAUUCUCAAGUGCAGUGGGGUGCAGUUUAACACCCCUUUAUCCGUCAUAAAAACAUCCAGCUUUAUAGCCUGACCCAGUUAAAUUAGCAAGAGUUGUUCACUGAAAACACAGGACGAACUCUAGCACUGGUGUGUUUAGAGGUUAUGUCUGUUCUCAAGGCCACAUCCAGUUGAAGUAAAACACAGCAUACAAAACACUGAAGAUCAAUUCCAGAACAUCCAGGAACCUUACCUCUGCCUCCUCCUCUGACUGUGUAAUACUAGAAAAGUCAUUUGCUACCUUUCUCUCACCCAGUUUUCAUGUUGGAAAAGCAAACAUCUCUGCAGAGAGAAUAUAGAAAAAAUGAUUUAUUCCUUAGAACAUGCAAAUAAAUAACAUAAAAAAAAUACAGGAAAUGCAAAUGUUCCAAAAUGUUCCACCAGCAUGAUUCUCUAUCUUCACCCAAAACUUUAAGGCACCUUAUUUCUGUGUUGGUAACUUUGAGCUGUCUGAAGUGUUAUCACAACAUCCAUUAAUUGCUCAACAAGCAUUUUCUGAGUUGUAAGCAUCAGGUGACCAUGAGGGUAUACCCUUCUUUUGUUAAAAAAAAAAAAAAAAAGAAAAAGAAACACUUUAUUUUUAUUUAAUUGCAUGUGUGUAUGAGUUUGUGUUACGGUACCCACAGAGGUAAAAGGAAGGUGUCAGACUCCCUAGAGCAGGUAUAACAGGCAAUUGUGAGCCAUCCACAUAGGUACUGGAAACCAAAUUCCAAUCCUCUGGAAAAGCAUCAAUUAAGUGCCCUUAAGCACUGGGGCAUUUCUUCCAGCCAUUGGGUACAAAUCUCUUAAUGUUGAAAUUUAUAAAUUAGUAUACUUUAAGCUGUGGAUUAUUGUUGACUUCAGAUCUAACUGAGCAGAAGAGCUACCAACCUUAGUUUUGUGGGACUACUGAGAUCCCCUGUCUCAGUGAGUCUAUAACAUAAACUUUUAAGUACCAAAACCUCCUGAACGAGGAUGCCAUUAUCUCUCUGGCAUGCUGUGAGGGCCUGUGCAAACACCUCACUGUGCCAACAGUUGAGCACCUGGCUUUGAGACUCCAUCCUGCUUCUGGUCCUUUGUACUUGCAAAGGCUCAGCAACAUUUCACCCUGCUGAAAGGAUUUUGUGGCCCUAUUUGUUCUCAAGGCUUAAGGGAAGCUUCACCCUCUAUCUGGACUUACUUGAUAACUUACUUUCAAAACCAAACUCCCACUAGGAAUUUUUAAAGCUCCCUUUGCAAAACAUAAUAUAGAAAUUGCUGAAAGAACCUUUCAAAUUGCAAAUUGCUUGUUUUUACCUGAACUUGGAGCCAGUUUGAAGUUGGAGGAGUAUUUUACAUGCAAAGCUAUACAUACAUGCAAAGGUGAUACAAGUUACAGAGAGAUAGAAAUAUACAUUCGAUACAACCCGCCCUAACUACAAACAGAACAACUUCUGGUACCUGAGGAACCCAGAACUCGCAGGCAGACAGGCCCACAUUUCACACAGUUUUUGAGUCCACACGUCUAGAUCAAGAUAAACCACAGGUAGGAAGCAAUCUCCUCUGUCUUGCUCCCAAAGUGGCCCUUAUGGCCCAGUUUGCCAUUUUUCUGAUCUAACGGGUCAAAGAGGGCUCCACAGUUUAUCAUUCUAAAGGAGCCAAUAUAAAAAGAUGGAGCACUGACCGAAAGAGAUAACUGAGCUUACAAGAGAAUGUGGGGAUCGGGCUCGCAGCCUCCUCUUGCCUUGACCACACAGAUCGGCAGCCCCAGCCUGCAGGAAAUGUGCCCCCGCUCCCUUUGGCGUUGUGGUACCAUUUCCCAGCUGCUAGAAAAGACUGAACAUACUCCUUAGGCUCAGAAAAAGAAAGGUGAAGCCACAGUUCAUAGAAGGAGAGUUCACUGCGGCUCCAAAGUAACGAGCACCCAGCAGCACAUCGCUUUAUGGAAGGAAAGAUGACUACGGUGGAAAAGACACCAUAUUGAGUCUCUGAAGCCCUUUUUCCUUAGAUCUGAACACUAAAAAUAACUUGAAAAAAUAUUUCCAACUUUUGAAAUAAAUUCCGGCUAUUGAAGUACAAA
Long non-coding RNA from Mastomys coucha (southern multimammate mouse), 2607 nucleotides. RefSeq lists it as uncharacterized. The record is from RefSeq and is a predicted model, not a curated record. The transcript is spliced from 2 exons. Lineage: Eukaryota; Metazoa; Chordata; Mammalia; Rodentia; Muridae.